GGGUGGCGCGCUGCAGACCUGCGGGGCCGCUCCCCGCCUGGGAGGGGCCCUGCGCGGCCGGGGCGGCCCCGGAGCGUGGACUUCCGCUCGCAGCGCCCGGGGAUCCGCAGAAAUGAGCUGCAGGGGCGGCUGCCGCGGGCCCCAGGAGGUGCGCGGGACGACGGGCGACGGUAGUGAACAUACGGUGCGAUGUUGGUUUCAGGAGUAGAAUUCAGUGGUUCAUCACUGACAACACCCCAUGCUCAUCACUACAGGUGCCUCCUUCAUGCCCACCCUCCCCACCUCCGUACAUCAGCCCUCACCUUGUUCUCUGGUGUUUGGUUCUCUGGGCCGGAGUACCUAAGGGGCUGCGUCCCGCACGCUGCGAUGCGCGGGCAGCUGGGGGAGGUCUCUGCGUGCAGGUGGCUCCCGUCUUGGGGCGCCAGUGGGGUCACCUCCCCCGCGUGUGAAUGGCAAGCAAGCUCAGUUUCCUCUUCUAUAACCAACUAAAUAUCCGAAAACGUCAGCACGGAGGUCAUUUGUGCUUCUGUUGGUCUGCUGAUCGUUUCAUUUAAAGGUUUGAAAAACCAGUUCUAAAUAAAAGGACGACUUGAAACUCUU
Molecule: long non-coding RNA, 600 nt
Organism: Canis lupus familiaris (dog)
Lineage: Eukaryota; Metazoa; Chordata; Mammalia; Carnivora; Canidae
Exons: 2
Source: RefSeq, a predicted model, not a curated record